Aegilops tauschii subsp. strangulata is the source of this 1899-nucleotide long non-coding RNA. RefSeq lists it as uncharacterized. Lineage: Eukaryota; Viridiplantae; Streptophyta; Magnoliopsida; Poales; Poaceae. The record is from RefSeq and is a predicted model, not a curated record.
GCGUUUUCCUGUUCCCCCGUCGUUUUGGCCUUCAGCCUAAGCGAGAGAUGCACCUACAACAGCUAGGGUUCCAACCACCACCGUCCUUGGCCCUCGACCGCCUCCCCUGUUCCCUCAGUAUGUUCAAGAGCCUCCGCCAAGCCCUCCUCCCUCACCACUCUCUCCGCGCGUCGGGGACGCACUCGACGUCGUCGCGCCUCCUCCUCGCGUUGGGAAACGCGUCGCCGCCGUCGUUUCAUCCGCAUGGCCGGCGAUGCAGACGCCGGCGUUGUUCAUCCACAAUCCACACAGCCAGGAACGACGCAAGCACUGACGCCCCCGUCUUCCUCACACUGCAGUAGUUCAGCCGGUCCUAUUCUGCCUCCCCGCAUCUGUACUUGUAUUAUGUAAAAGUAAUAUUCCCCGUUGUCCUCGCCCAUCCUUGUUUUUCCUUGCCGGUCGCAUCUUACAAGUUACAACACCAAUGGACUGCAUGCUUGUUGAUGAUUUUCCCUGCCUGCGUAGCUGCACAUGCUGAUUUCAAACCUACUAAGAUUUCCUAUUUUACGUGCAUCACUGAAGGGAACCGUUUAACUGACACAUAAGUUUCUUGUUGAAAUAAAUGCAGGAUUCUUCUACCCAAACGUCGAACAAGAGAUGAUUUCUGCAGAGAGACAACAAGUUCAGAACCUUUAUGGUAUUUUGCUUAGUGUGUCCCCUGCUCUCUCUCUCUCUCAUUACGUAAAUAUUGUGCUCAUGUUUUUGUGUAUCAUGCAUGUUGUUAAGGAAAUUACCAUAAUUUCGUGGUCAACCAAAAAGGCAUCUAAUCUUCAUCCCUUGAUCUCCCAGCUAGAGUUGGGGUAACCAAUUCUUAGUUUUUAAUUCAUGAUGGUUCUAAUUCACUUACAUUCAAGCCUCAUAAUGCUACUUUUAAGCCUCAUAACAAUCAGUAAAGUGUAAGACAAAAACCAUGUAGAAAAGCAAGUUCAACAACCUUUUUCACCAAGCUUAUACCUGAAUGGGCUGAUGCAUGUAGAUAUGAUAUGUAAUUUUAGUAAGACGGGAACAUGAAGAUUGAUGUUUCAAGUGAUGAUAAUGCAUAGGGACUGGAGGCGUGGUUUGAGGUGGCAGUUAACCGUGCAAUUUUCAUGAAGAAUGAUUGCGUACAUUUUUACUCAAUACUCGUUUCUUGUGAUGCAUUAGGUUUUAGUUUUCUUGCUGCUAUGUGUGUGGAUCAAUCCUUACUCUUUUUUCAUGCUGCUUGUGGUAUGAGUCCUUAUCUCUGCUUGGGGUGACGCUGCAAGAUCGGACGGAAACCAGACUUCUUAUGGUAGGCUCAGUCUCGUAUGUUCUUUUACCCUGCAGCUAAUCAAUUAUUCUGUGAUGUCCUCUCUUGUAUUCUAAUUAUGGCAUGCUCUUGUUUAUACUAAUUAGAUCAAGCACUCCUUCAAGGUCAAGUCAGGGGCUCAGGGUAGACAGUUCAUAGUUUUCUUGCUGUUUCGUCUUUCUGUUUGUUAGUUCAUUAUGCACGUCUUCUUUCUAUGCAUGUGUUGAUAACUCCAGUUGUUCCAAUCUGAUGAUGCUUUUUCUCGUGUUGUUGCUUCUGCAGGUUCUGAGAAUUUUACAUGGAUCAGGAAAUUCUAAUGUUUGACUUUGUAGUACUCAGAUUACCAAGAUAAAUUGAGGAUGCAUGACUCAUAUUUUGAUUGCAAGGCCAAGAAGAUUUUGAUUCCGAGGCAAAUAGUUAGGCUACAAGUCAAUUAGAAUGUAACUUUUAGUAUCAAUGUUUCAAACAUUAUAGUUGAUGGCAAGGUCAAUAAUUGGCCUACUACUAGAUAGUUUCACCUCUUGUAAUCUUUGGACCAUGUUCUUUGUAAUGCCACAUAUUUGAUUUAAUAUAUGAGACUGGAUUGUUUAUUA